AUCGGCCGAGCCGAGUGGCCCCGCGGAGCCGGCGCGCUCUCGCCUGCAGGGGGAGGGCGGACGGGGCGCGGGGACCGGCCAGGCCGGGGCGGGCGCUGUUUCUCUUUCACUUUCCUUUGCUCUGAGGCCGGCGCGCUGGCGGGCGAGGAGCGGCGGCCGCUGGAUAUGGGAAAGCAGAACCACCAAAAGGAGUGAUGAUCAGCGAUCUCAUGAUAAAUCUGGAUGUUAGUUCUCAUGCCUCAGGACAUCCUUUUAGGAACACCACACCAGCUCCUGGGAUCAGACUUGCAUCUACUUAGUGUACCCUUCUUUGCCUGAACUACUAAAGCCAGUCUUAGCUAACCAUGAAUGCUACCCAAAGGAAACACUUGGUGAAAGAUUUCAAUCCUUACAUUACCUGCUGUAUCUGUAAAGGUUAUCUGAUCAAGCCAAGGACAGUGACGGAAUGCCUCCAUACCUUCUGUAAGACUUGUAUUGUCCAGCACUUUGAAGAUAGUAAUGAUUGUCCAAGGUGUGGCAACCAGGUUCAUGAGACAAAUCCACUAGAAAUGUUAAGGUUGGAUAAUACACUAGAAGAAAUUAUAUUUAAGCUGGUCCCUGGACUACGAGAACAAGAACUUGAGCAUGAAUCUGAAUUUUGGAAGAAAAAUAAGCCUCAAGAAAAUGGACAAGAUGAUACUUCAAAAGUUGACAAACCUAAAGUAGAUGAAGAAGGUGAUGAAAAUCAAGAUGAUAAAGACUAUCACAGAAGUGACCCACAAAUUGCUAUCUGUCUAGAUUGUUUACGAAAUAAUGGGCAAUCAGGGGACAAUGUAGUAAAGGGCUUAAUGAAGAAAUUUAUUCGAUGUUCUACACGUGUAACUGUGGGAACUAUUAAAAAAUUUCUAAGUUUAAAACUAAAACUUCCAAGUUCUUAUGAGUUGGAUGUGCUGUGCAAUGGUGAAAUUAUGGGGAAGAAUCAUACUAUGGAAUUCAUCUACAUGACAAGAUGGCGACUAAGAGGCAAAAACUUUCGGUGUCUGAACUGCUCAGCUUCGCAAGUCUGCUCUCAGGAUGGCCCUUUGUAUCAGUCAUACCCUAUGGUAUUGCAGUAUCCACCAAGAAUUGAUUUCGGUUAGACCAAGGGGCACAAAUCUCUGAGAUGAAUCCUGCACUGUUUACUCGUCGACAGAUUGCACAGUUAAUGGUGUGUGGACUAGAGGGACACAACCAGAUUUUCAGCAUGCAAAUAAGGCCAUUGUCUAUCUAUAAAUUGUCAAUUACAUUUAUGUUAUUUCUAUUAAGAGCAAACCAAGUGCCAUUCUGCUACUGAACUGUCUGCAUAGGGUAUUUGUGCUGUCUCACAGUGUGCAAAUCCUAGCUGAGAUCAGUUAAAGUGUGCAGCCAUGAUUCAGCCUUCUGAAUAUUUUGCUUGCCUGUUCCAAGAUUGUUCUAAUGUUUAAUUACACUAGUUAAAAUGGCUCAAUCUUUGUGGUGUUGCAGUUUUCACAUACUUAGUAUUUUAUUAAUUCUUGUUUAAAUAGAGUACUGUACAAGAAACUAAUAAUUAUCUUGAAAUUGUUUUAUAUGGAAAUAUAUUUAGAAAAGUGGUUUUUGAGCCACUAUCCUGUUCUUGGUAAGCUUUUUGUGUAAAAAAAAAAUAGUUAAUUCUUGAGUGUGCAAGUCUGUUUGCAAAGAAUUUCGAUUAUUUAACAUUAGAGCACAUCAUAAUUGUAGACAUUCUAAGCAUCUGUCAGUGUAGUCUACUAAUUGCACAAGGAAGGCAUGUUAGCCCUCCAGAUUGAAAAUGUAUGUGACUUUUUGGAGAACUGAAGUUAGAUUCACAACCAUUCAAAAUGUUGGCAGCUGAUCACAUUUACUUCUAAUAAAAUUAAUGUGUAAGUAAGGUUAAUCUUCUUUCAUAAUGCCUUAUGACAAGUGGGUGUUGCUUCAUGAAACUUCAUUGUAAAGUCCAUUUUAUGUAUGUAUCAUUACAUUGUUGCUGUCAUUUAAUGAGUGCAUUGUUUCUCUUUUUAAGUUGGCCUUAGGUACAUGUUAUUGUGGCAUGCAGAGGGUUAUGAUUUUAAAUAUUAGGAUUUUUAGAGCAUAUAACAUUAGCUAUUUUAUGGAUUUCAAAAGUCUAAAAACAGUUAUAGAUUAAAACUGUUAGUUAUCUUUUACAUUUCCAAACCAUAUGCAUAAAAUAGAAUAAAUGCUGU
Non-coding RNA from Microcebus murinus (gray mouse lemur), 2198 nucleotides. The record is from RefSeq and is a predicted model, not a curated record. NCBI's taxonomy places the organism in Eukaryota, Metazoa, Chordata, Mammalia, Primates, Cheirogaleidae.